This 815-nucleotide ribosomal RNA is filed under the name uncultured bacterium. RNAcentral's name for it is "bacterial SSU rRNA". It matches the Rfam family "Bacterial small subunit ribosomal RNA", at positions 36 to 841 of the family's 1533-position model. The record is from RNAcentral.
CUGGCGCGCGCUACCUGCAAGUCGAGCGAGAACCGGGGCUUCGGCCCCGGGGACAGCGGCGAACGGGUGAGUAACACGUGGAUAACCUGCCCUCGGCACCGGAAUAGCCCGAGGAAACUCGGAUUAAUGCCGGAUAGCCCCACAUCCCUGCGGGGAACGUGGGAAAAGGUAGCUUCGGCCUCUGGCCGGGGAUGGGUCCGCGGUGGAUUAGCUUGUUGGCGGGGUAACGGCCCACCAAGGCGACGAUCCAUAGCUGGUCUGAGAGGAUGAUCAGCCACACUGGGACUGAGACACGGCCCAGACUCCUACGGGAGGCAGCAGUAGGGAAUCUUGCGCAAUGGGCGAAAGCCUGACGCAGCGACGCCGCGUGCGGGAAGAAGGCCUUCGGGUUGUAAACCGCUUUCAGGAGGGACGAAGCCACUCGGGUUAAUAGCCCAGAGGGUGACGGUACCUCCAGAAGAAGCCCCGGCUAACUACGUGCCAGCAGCCGCGGUAAUACGUAGGGGGCAAGCGUUGUCCGGAUUUAUUGGGCGUAAAGAGCGUGUAGGCGGUCAGGUAGGUCGGUUGUGAAAACUGGAGGCUCAACCUUCAGAGGUCGACCGAAACCCCCUGGCUAGAGUCCGGGAGAGGAGAGUGGAAUUCCUGGUGUAGCGGUGAAAUGCGCAGAUAUCAGGAAGAACACCCGUGGCGAAAGCGGCUCUCUGGAACGGUACUGACGCUGAGACGCGAAAGCGUGGGGAGCGAACAGGAUUAGAUACCCUGGUAGUCCACGCCGUAAACGAUGGGCGCUAGGUGUGGGAGGUGUCGACUCCUUU